GCGUCUUUCGCGGGAGAGACUGGUCCCGGCUAAGCCCGGAUCCGGCGCCGAAGGAGCAACCGCCCCGGAAACUCUCAGGCAAAUGGACCGCGAAAAGGCA
Molecule: non-coding RNA, 100 nt
Filed under: Erythrobacter sp.
Lineage: Bacteria; Pseudomonadati; Pseudomonadota; Alphaproteobacteria; Sphingomonadales; Erythrobacteraceae
Also listed under: 1 other name
Description: Glycine sequence
Rfam family: Glycine riboswitch aptamer
About the family: This family represents the bacterial glycine riboswitch. Glycine riboswitches usually consist of two metabolite-binding aptamers domains with similar structures in tandem.
Source: RNAcentral